RNAcentral lists this ribosomal RNA (521 nucleotides) under uncultured bacterium. RNAcentral describes it as "bacterial SSU rRNA". It matches the Rfam family "Bacterial small subunit ribosomal RNA", at positions 28 to 595 of the family's 1533-position model. The record is from RNAcentral.
AACGAACGCUGGCGGCAGGCUUAACACAUGCAAGUCGAGCGAGACCUUCGGGUCUAGCGGCGGACGGGUGAGUAACGCGUGGGAACGUGCCCUUCUCUACGGAAUAGCCCCGGGAAACUGGGAGUAAUACCGUAUACGCCCUUUGGGGGAAAGAUUUAUCGGAGAAGGAUCGGCCCGCGUUGGAUUAGGUAGUUGGUGGGGUAAUGGCCCACCAAGCCGACGAUCCAUAGCUGGUUUGAGAGGAUGAUCAGCCACACUGGGACUGAGACACGGCCCAGACUCCUACGGGAGGCAGCAGUGGGGAAUCUUAGACAAUGGGGGCAACCCUGAUCUAGCCAUGCCGCGUGAGUGAUGAAGGCCUUAGGGUUGUAAAGCUCUUUCAGCUGGGAAGAUAAUGACGGUACCAGCAGAAGAAGCCCCGGCUAACUCCGUGCCAGCAGCCGCGGUAAUACGGAGGGGGCUAGCGUUGUUCGGAAUUACUGGGCGUAAAGCGCACGUAGGCGGACUGGAAAGUCAGAGGU